Molecule: long non-coding RNA, 238 nt
Filed under: Pan troglodytes (chimpanzee)
Lineage: Eukaryota; Metazoa; Chordata; Mammalia; Primates; Hominidae
Description: long non-coding RNA NONPTRT002082
Source: RNAcentral
UCUCACUGUCACCCAGGCUGGAGUGCAAGGGUGUAGUAAUCAUAGCUCACUGCAGCCUCAACCUCCCAGGCUCAAGUGAGCCCCCUGGCUCAGCCUCCCAAGUAGCUGGGACUAUAGGUGCAUGCCACCACACCUAGCUAAUUUUUUUUUUUUUUUUUUUAGUAGAAACAGGGCCUCAUUAUGUUGCCCAGGCUGGUCUCAAACUUCCGAGCUCAAGCAGUCCUCCUCCCUUAGCCUC